Molecule: long non-coding RNA, 3176 nt
Organism: Gasterosteus aculeatus aculeatus (three-spined stickleback)
Lineage: Eukaryota; Metazoa; Chordata; Actinopteri; Perciformes; Gasterosteidae
Source: Ensembl
CCCCCCGUCGACCGUACUGUUCGAACCGUCGAGACAAGAGGGCUCGAAAGGGAUGUUUAAAAAUCUGGAUUCAAGAGUUUAAACAUUUCCAACUUGACUGUUAUUUCUUCGCCUUGGCGGCCUGAGCCGAAUUUCGUGGUUUUUAUUGGGACAAAAAUCCAAAAUCGGUCUUUAUUGAUUCUUUAAAGCCUUUGCUUUCAAGAUCAAGAUGAACGGGUCAUAGAAAAAGAAACGGUACAGCAAAGUGUUUUAUGCACCAUGUGAAGUGGAUGAGCUCCAUCAAUACAAAUACACCGUCCACACACACGUUUACUUUAAAGGCUCAUUUCUAUAUUCUAGAUACCUUCACUGUAAACAUAGACAGGUGACAUCAGGAUUUCUCCAUGUUCCGUGUUCCAUGUUCCGUGUUCCAUGUUCCAUGCUCCAUGUUCCAUGCUCCAUGUUCUGUGUUCUAUGCUCCAUGUUCCGUGUUCUAUGCUCCAUUCACCACAGCAUUAGAAACACAGUCUGAGGCACAUUUAGUCAGUUAGUUUCAAACUUCACAUCUACACACACUGAAGUUUUCCGGACAGAAACCUGCAGAAAGCGAUCGUGACGCCUCAGGAGUCUGAAGAGGAGAUGAAGACGCGUUCUGCUGCACUCAACAGAGCUCGAGACCAACAGGACGCCAUCAGGACGCCAUCAGGAUGCCAUCAGGACGCCAUGAGGACGUCACGCCAUAAGGACGCCAUCAGGACGCCAUAAGGACGCCAUCAGGAUGCCAUCAGGACGCCAUGAGGACGUCACGCCAUAAGGACGCCAUCAGGACGCCAUAAGGACGCCAUCAGGACGUGCUGAGAGUCGCCCCCUCAGGAGCAGCUCCAGAUCUACGCAUGACUCAGAUAAGCGGACAACACACACACACACGUACUCAGAGAAAAACUAAUAUUGAGAUGUACACGUAGAUCAUUAAUAUUUAGAUGUAUACAUAGAUCAUUAAUAUUGAGAUGUACACAUAGACACAUUAAUAUUGAGAUGUACACAUAGAUCAUUAAUAUUGAGAUGUACACAUAGAUCAUUAAUAUUGAGAUGUACACAUAUACACAUUAAUAUUGAGAUGUACACAUAGAUCAUUAAUAUUGAGAUGUACACAUAGAUCAUUAAUAUUGAGAUGUACACAUAUACACAUUAAUUUUGAGAUGUACACAUAGAUCAUUAAUAUUGAGAUGUUUACAUAGACACAUUAAUAUUUAGAUGUACACAUAGACACACUACCUGUAAGAGCCGAUUUAUGAUGUAUGGCAGCAUCUGAUUGAUGGGCGGGUCAGCCUAUAUAGGGUAGGAACCUUUGGGGGCUCGGCAGGUGUUUCUAGCCGGUAUAAGAAAAACAGUUUUGACUUUGAACGUAGAAACUAAGCAAACGCUUUAAGCCACUGAGGCAUUUUUUUCCGGAAACCCUCAUUGACGCGCCGCUGUUGUCUCAUGACGGAUGAAUGAGAGUCCUGUAGCCUUUGUGUUGUUGUAAACAAGUCCACUUAUUUGCCAAGUUUAGUCCUGUCACACGUUAACAUACAUCAUGGAUACAUGGGAGUGUGGAGGGGGAGAGAGAGGAGUGAUUAAAUAGAUAAAUGAGAUGUGUUGAGAAAUGCACUUUAAGAAAUAAGUUUUGGAAGUAUGUUCUAAGGAGGGCAGACAGACCUAAUAAUUGAGUCUGAGAGGUUAACAUAAACUCACAGACGCAUUGACUCCGGAAGGUUAGUAUAAACUUUCAGCAUAAAUUAAUUCUGCGAGGCUAACAUAAGCUCGUGGACACAAACAUUUUCUCUGAAAGGUUAGUAUAAACUUUCAGAACAUAGCUGUCUGCCCGGGUAAAAUACAUACGAACUGGUUGACUGUUGUUAAAUGGAAGGCGAAUUUGAUGAAGAAGAGGAGGACGGCGGCUGGGAGCCGGCCUUAGAUCAUAAAUAUUUAGACACACCUUAACAUUUAGAUACCCAAAGAUCAUAACAAUUUAUAUGUACACAUAGAUUAUUAAUAUUGAGAUGUACACAUAGAUCAUUAAUAUUGAGAUGUUCACAUAGACACAUUAAUAUUGAGAUGUACACAUAGACACACUACCUGUAAGAGCCGAUUUAUGAUGUAUGGCAGCAUCUGAUUGAUGGGCGGGUCAGCCUAUAUAGGGUAGGAACCUUUGGGGGUUCGGCAGGUGUUUCCAGCCGAUAUAAGAAAAACAGUUUUGACUUUGAACGUAGAAACUAAGCAAACGCUUUAAGCCACUGAUGUACACAUAGAUCAUUAAUAUUUAGAUGUACACAUAGACACACUAAUAUUUAGACACAAAUAGACACAUUAAUAUUUAGAUGUACACAUUGAUCAUUAAUAUUUAGAUCCAGACAAAUACACACUAACAUUUUGUUCUACAAAAAAACACACUAACAACAUUAACAUGUCAAUAACUUUUCUUCUCUUCUUUCUUCUCAGGAACUGCUUCAGAUUUCCCCCCAAUCAUUGUGUUGUUAUUAUUGUUAUUGUUUGUAUGCGUGUUAUUGUAUCAUGUAAGUAAUGUCAUCGAAGUAAUGUCAUGUGAUUAUUAUCUAAACAAUAAUAAAUACAUUUCGAUAAAAAAUAAAUUAAAUGAAUCCGUUUUCUGUUCGUCUGACCGAAGAGAAUCUCAUGUUCUUUAUUAUUUGUUGACUUGAAUGAAUUUUAACAACAAUGAUGUUGAGUUAAUGAUCGUUUGUGUAUUUAAUGACACACGCAGUUGUGAGUUGACACUUGGAUACUGAUUUUAAUUGUUGACUCUCUUCUUCCUGUAAUAAAACAUCUUGUCUUAGAAUAACGGCAGAAGAAGAAGAGAAUAUUUAAAGUAGAUGAACAUGUUUCCUCUACGGAACAUUUUCAUUAAUACAUGAAUGUUUCUAAAAAAUGAAGUCAGGCAACUCAAAUAAAACAAAUUCAAGCCCCGAGUUCAACGGGACGUGUGAGCGUCUCUAAUGACGCAGUCAAGUGCAACUGCAGAGUCAUGAAUGUCUGUUCGUUCUCUGUUGCUGGACGACAGACGACAUCUUCUCUCCCACUCUGUCAAUCAGAGACUCAAUGAACCUCCACGCUGCAGCCCGUCAACGCUCCUACAGUUUAGAUAGAUAAAUAAAUAAAUAUGACAAAAAGCAGAUCAGAAAAAUGUGUGUUAACUUCUC